This is a non-coding RNA of Thermoanaerobacterium saccharolyticum JW/SL-YS485, 119 nucleotides long. The record is from Rfam. Lineage: Bacteria; Bacillati; Bacillota; Clostridia; Thermoanaerobacterales; Thermoanaerobacteraceae.
AGUAAAAUUGAAAACUUACCGUAGACAGUAGGUGUGGCAACACAUAAAUCCUACCGAGGUUUUUGAUAAAGCUAAGAAAGGAUCCUCAUGUCUACGGUGGAUCCUUUUAAUAUUUAAGA